UGGGGAAUUUUCCGCAAUGGGCGAAAGCCUGACGGAGCAAUACCGCGUGAGGGAGGAAGGCUUUUGGGUUGUAAACCUCUUUUCUCAAGGAAGAAGAUCUGACGGUACUUGAGGAAUCAGCAUCGGCUAACUGCGAGCCAGCAGCCGCGGUAAUACGGAGGAUGCAAGCGUUAUCCGGAAUGAUUGGGCGUAAAGCGUCUGCAGGUGGCUAUGCAAGUCUGCUGUUAAAGAGAGGAGCUGAACUCCAUAAGGGCAGUGGAAACUGGAUAACUUGAGUACGUUCGGGGUAGAGGGAAUACCUGGCGUAGCGGUGAAAUGCGUAGAUAUCAGGAAGAACACCGGUGGCGAAAGCGCUCUACUAGGCCGUAACUGACACUGAGAGACGAAAGCUAAGGGAGCGAAUGGGAUUAGAUACCCCCGUAGUCC
Molecule: ribosomal RNA, 426 nt
Filed under: uncultured prokaryote
Description: bacterial SSU rRNA
Rfam family: Bacterial small subunit ribosomal RNA
Source: RNAcentral